AGGAGGAGAAGAGAUGAAAAUCACUGGCCCAAAAUGAAUUCUUCCCCCCAAAAUGACCCACAACUGUGUGUGAACCUCUAGCUAUUAUGGAUAAGGAACUGAAGGAACAUGGUGAGGAAUGAAGCUUUAGGAAAGAAGCUAGGAUUUUUCUUUUCGAAUUGCUAUAAAGUACCUCAGCGCUGGAAAUGCACUGGAAAUGGAUGGUUUGGCUGAAUCAGCCUCAGAGACUGCUGACAACAAACCAAGAGGAAAACUUACCCUUGCAGAUUCCCCUCUGCUAACUCUUCCAACGGGUCAUUAUUGGGCUGCUUCUUGCUGAAGAGACAACAUGGAAGGAAGUAAAUACAGACUGUGCAUCAUCGUGAGGGAGGAGAGAUCCCCAUUUGGAGUUGGUACAACUGAAAGCAUGGAGCAAUUUAAAACUGACAGUGAAACCUGCAUGGGACUGCAAAUGAUUUAUUUUGGCUUGUUUCUGAGAGCACAUGCAAUAAAUCCAAGAGAGGA
Ornithorhynchus anatinus (platypus) is the source of this 504-nucleotide long non-coding RNA. RefSeq lists it as uncharacterized. The record is from RefSeq and is a predicted model, not a curated record. The transcript has 2 exons. NCBI's taxonomy places the organism in Eukaryota, Metazoa, Chordata, Mammalia, Monotremata, Ornithorhynchidae.